This 761-nucleotide long non-coding RNA is filed under the name Bos taurus (domestic cattle). RNAcentral describes it as "long non-coding RNA NONBTAT021521". Lineage: Eukaryota; Metazoa; Chordata; Mammalia; Artiodactyla; Bovidae. The record is from RNAcentral.
GUUCAUUAUUAUCACUAGCUCAUUCUUGCAUAUUGUUCUUCAGUAGCUAAUAAAGAAUAAAUGAAACCUAGACCUCAGUAAUAAGGAGAAUGCGAAUACAAGUGAAUCUCAGGAUACUAAAAAAGAGAAAAAGCAUUUUUGUGGUAUUAAUUUCCAGUUCUACAACAGUUAUUACAUUUGUCACUGUGUCUCCCUUUUUUUGCCCUAAUUCUUCUAUGUAUGUUUACAGUAUGAGAAAAUGUGCCUUUUUUUUUUUUUGGUGGUCCUUUUAAAAAGACCUAAUGAAAUUACUACUCUUUUGCAAAAAAAUAUACACCCAUUGCUUAUAUGGGCAUACAAAUGCUACCCUAUUUUAAAUGUAGGUGGCGUAUGUGUUCGUGUUUUAAUGUAUUCAGAGCCAUUGGGCAAUAAGCAGUCCAGAACAUUGAAAACUCAAGCAGCAGAGAAAUAAACUGGUAGGUGGCAGCAGAAGAAAGAAUUCUUCAGAUUGAUGGCUACUGGCAGUCUGCAUAGGAGAAGAGAGAGAAGGUGACAUACCAUGUCCAGCAACAGGGCAGAAAUGGAAACAGGACUGCAAUUGCUGAUCUUGACUCUAAAAUGGUUCUUUUGGUCUCACAGAAUGGAUGAAGAUUGAUCUUGACUGGAUACUUUUUCAAAUGGAGGAUAGAAGUAACACAAAACAAGGCAACAGUAGCUCUCCAGUGUUUAGUUCAAUGUGCUUUAUUUCUAAAAUAAAAACACCAGAACUGGGAAUGAAACAG